Syngnathus typhle (broad-nosed pipefish) is the source of this 624-nucleotide long non-coding RNA. RefSeq lists it as uncharacterized. The transcript has 3 exons. NCBI's taxonomy places the organism in Eukaryota, Metazoa, Chordata, Actinopteri, Syngnathiformes, Syngnathidae. The record is from RefSeq and is a predicted model, not a curated record.
GGCACCGACCUCGCCAUUAGAUCCACGUUUGCCCUCCUCACCCUGAGGUCCGGGAGCUCCCUGAGGUCCGGCGCUACCCUGCAGAAGGCAGCAAAUGCGGAGGACAACGCAAUGAGCCGGACAUCAACUUUAGAGAAAAAGAAUGAGGGAGGCCCUGAUUUUGUGUGAAUGUUAACUUACAGCCAGGCCUCUGGGACCAGAGGCACCCUGAGGUCCCUGAGGUCCGGGUCCUCCUCUGGGUCCGGGGAAACCGGGAGCUCCAGCAAGACCAGCGGCACCCUAUAAGGAAGGAACAGCCAUUAGUGACAUGUUCAGCCUGAGACGCUACUUACAGCAGCACCAGCGGGUCCAGUGUUGCCAUCAGCACCACGAGCACCAACGGGUCCAGCAGGGCCGGCACGACCUCUCUCACCAGCCAUACCGCGGGGUCCCUGUAUGGAGGAAAGCACCGAUGUGUGUUCAUUCACAGAAUGCUGACCUGCUAAUUGAGCCAGAAGGUCACGUCCAGCAACAAGGCCAGGAUCCAGUUUUAGCAUGCAGCACUUACAACAAGUCCGGGUCUGCCCGCAGCUCCGUGUGCGCCAGCCUCACCCUACGUUGAACAGGAGAAGAGGGAUGAAUGUG